UCCCGCUGCCCCAGGAUACUGGCUCAAACCAACUCUCCAGAUGGUCUCCCUUCAAACACUGUAGAUCAUUCUUCAUUCAGAGAAACGCUUUUUCGCCAUUGUGCCUCUCACAGCAGCGAUUGGCUCCUGAGUGUGGGAAACGCAGAGAAACCCGGACUCACGCUCACUUCCCUGUCCUCUUGGAGCUAUAAGUACAGGAGAUGUUGAUCAGAAACGCAGCAAAUAGCAGAGACCGCGUCUUAGUUCACUACCAGCUUCACGAAUGCGUCGACUUACUUACAAAACCAUAUCAAUUGCAAGACGAGAAAAUAUCUCAGCUAAACUGUUAGAAGCAUCGCUGCAGAGAUUGCACUGGCUAAAUUCAGAAGUUUAGAGGUCACUGCGUUGAAAAGGAAAGAUUACUACCCGAAACGGAAUCGGUAACAAGUCUCGGUUCGUGUUCCCCCACCGAUUGGACACCGGAACAGUCGCAGACCUGCUGUCAACUCGUAACACUGAGAUGCAAAUUAAGAAGAAAAUCCCCAGCCGAUUGAACCGAGGUUCAGAUCUGUAUUUCUCGGCUUGUCAGGCCCGGUCAAGCAAAACUUCUCGGCCCAGCACCGCUGAAACACCUGGACAACAUUUUAUAUGACUCAGGAAGUGAGAGUUGCACGGUAGAGAUACUGAAGGUUUAUUCUCCGGUGUUAGACAGUAUUCCACAAUGGAAGUACCAUUGUUAAUAUCUUCACAUUGAAGCAGUUGGAUGCUUUAUUAGCGUCUAGUCCUCAAUCGAGCGACGUCAUAGUCCACGACCCGUUUUCGACAAUCUUCCCUCAAUAAUCUCUCUGGUAUUGUAAUAGCUGUGGAAUUAUGCAGCAGAAACCCCCUGUUGAAGUGUGACAGGAAACAGAGAGUACUUUAUUCUGAUGAACAGUUUGUGUCUUUUGUAGAGGUCUAGAUUCAUUCACGGAGCAUUUUAUUCGAAUAAAUAUGAAGUAGAGAGUUUCUGGACCCCUGAUGUUUCGCUUCCUCUCAGCGUUAUGAAGGUUCAUUGUAAAGAUUGCAGUUCUACGUGAAGUCGCUGUAAUCAUACCGCUGUGGUAUUGAAAGGUUAAUAAGAAUGUUGUAUUAAGUGCAGAAAAGCGACUUCAGAUUGAAAGAGGUAGAUAGUUUUUAAGGGCUAUUUUUCAUCCUCCUGUAACAUCUCAAUAGGUGACGGUUGUUUGCGGAAUUGUUGAACUACUAGAAGGCGAGGUCCCGCGGAACUGAUGUGCAGUGCCUGAAGCGAGUCGGAGAUGGAAAGUCAACUAACCCUUUUAUUAGUCUGGGAAAGUUUUACACAAUAACACGUCUGUGUAAAUGAUAAAGCUCCUUAUUAUAAAAUAGAUAUAGUAAAACCUAAGACUGCAAAGUAUUAGAACGGGGGUUAUAAAAUUACUUUGUGGAGGUGAUUCUUGCCCUGUAUCAGGGACGAUGUUGUUUCACUGUUUGAAGGCAAACGGUUCUUUUUUGUUUUUUUUUUAAAAAGCUAAUAGUAGGUAUUUGGAGCUCUUAAAGCUUCCAACCUGCUCAACAUUCUGCGAAUGACCUGAAAGGUAUAAAAUUUUAUUGAAAUCUUGUUAAAGUACACUCAACAUGAAAAGGAAUAAAGUUAGGCAUACUAUUUCGGGAUGUGGAUUGUAGAGCAAGAGAACAUAGGUUAAAAACUGAAAUAAAGACUGAUCAGCUCUUGGAUGGGCUUCCGAACAAGGAAUUGGAGAUGAGGGGGCUCAGUGGGAGAAGAAGUGAUAGGGGAAUGUGAAUUACUUAAAUAGUUCUGGAUGGACGAGCUCAGAGCAGCUGCUUCGGUUUUCUCGUCGGUAUCUAUUUUGUGAUGGUGGUUAACUGAAAGGACUUAAAGUCAUAUUUGUUGAGCUAAUGAUGAACGAUCUACAUUCAGUGGCAUUGGGAAAUUGUGAUUUACAGCUCGACACUGCAUUGUUGCUGUAUCCUAGAAAAUGCAUUUCAGACUACAGCAUAUGUAAAUAUGCUGGACAUUAAUACAAACUUCCAAUAAAGUUAUUUUAAGCUAA
Molecule: long non-coding RNA, 2051 nt
Organism: Rhincodon typus (whale shark)
Lineage: Eukaryota; Metazoa; Chordata; Chondrichthyes; Orectolobiformes; Rhincodontidae
Exons: 3
Source: RefSeq, a predicted model, not a curated record